RNAcentral lists this ribosomal RNA (393 nucleotides) under uncultured bacterium. RNAcentral describes it as "bacterial SSU rRNA". It matches the Rfam family "Bacterial small subunit ribosomal RNA", at positions 138 to 518 of the family's 1533-position model. The record is from RNAcentral.
CCGGGAUAGCCCAGGGAAACCUGGAUUAAUACCGGAUGAGACGGGACCCGCGAUGGCGGGAUCCGGGAAAGGCGCUGCGGCGCCGCCGGGGGAUGAGUCUGCGUCCCAUUAGCUAGACGCGGGGUAACGGCCCACCGUGGCGACGAUGGGUAGCCGGCCUGAGAGGGUGGACGGCCACAUUGGAACUGAGGCACGGUCCAGACUCCUACGGGAGGCAGCAGCUAGAAUCUUCCGCAAUGGGCGAAAGCCUGACGGAGCGACGACCCGCGUGAACGAAGAAGGCCGUGAGGUUGUAAAGUUCUUUUCGGGAGGGGGAACAACCGUGGCAGGGAAUGGCCGCGGGAUGACGUGAAUCCCGGAAUAAGCCCCGGCUAACUACGUGCCAGCAGCCGC